Molecule: long non-coding RNA, 518 nt
Filed under: Olea europaea subsp. europaea
Lineage: Eukaryota; Viridiplantae; Streptophyta; Magnoliopsida; Lamiales; Oleaceae
Source: RNAcentral
CAUCUGACCAAUUCUUCACACUCAUUAACUCGUGCAUGAAGUUGCUGAAUAUUUAGUACUCAAUUUUAAACUUGGUAGCUUUUGUAUUGUGUUAGUUGAACUACUCCAAUGUACUUAUAAGGGAGGCGAGUAUAUAUAGUUAUCGUUGUAUAGCCCACACUGGCUCGAUCAAACGUUCAAAUAAUAUCAAAGCUUCACUUCGUGUUUGUGUUUUAAUUUCUCUAAAUAAAUUUUUGUCGUUGAUCCAUAAAAAGAAAAUAGAAAGAGUGUUUGUUAGCGUAGAAAUAGCAUCAGUAAGAUCCUUGAUGUUGUUUAAUUGGAAAACUAUUUUCCUGGCCAAGACCUUUGGGGUAGGUAUCGGUCCUCUUCUCUUGCGGGCCAAUGUGUCGCCUAGUAAUGUCAUCAAUCAAUCUUAGCACAUGCAAAGAUCUCGCCCCCUUUUGUCUCUCUGACACAAGAAUCAGAAUACUCAAAAUAACAUUUUAGAGAGAAUCUACGGAAAGGGAACAAGUGUGAAA